AGAGUUUGAUCAUGGCUCAGGACGAACGCUGGCGGCGCGCUUAACACAUGCAAGUCGAGCGAGAACCAGGGCUUCGGCCCCGGGGACAGCGGCGAACGGGUGAGUAACACGUGGAUAACCUGCCCUCGGCACCGGGAUAGCCCGGGGAAACCCGGAUUAAUACCGGAUGGCCCUUCCGGCUCUCGAGCCGGUCGGAAAAGGUAGCUUCGGCCUCCGGCCGAGGAUGGGUCCGCGGCGGAUUAGCUCGUUGGUGGGGUAACGGCCUACCAAGGCUCCGAUCCGUAGCUGGUCUGAGAGGACGAUCAGCCACACUGGGACUGAGACACGGCCCAGACUCCUACGGGAGGCAGCAGUGGGGAAUCUUGCGCAAUGGGCGAAAGCCUGACGCAGCGACGCCGCGUGAGGGAGGAAGGCCUUCGGGUUGUAAACCUCUUUCAGGAGGGACGAAGCUACUCGGGUGAAUAGCCCAGAGGGUGACGGUACCUCCAGAAGAAGCCCCGGCUAACUACGUGCCAGCAGCCGCGGUAAUACGUAGGGGGCAAGCGUUGUCCGGAUUUACUGGGCGUAAAGCGCGUGUAGGCGGCCACGCAGGUCCGUUGUGAAAACUGGAGGCUUAACCUCCAGACGUCGACGGAAACCGUGUGGCUAGAGUCCGGAAGAGGAGAGUGGAAUUCCUGGUGUAGCGGUGAAAUGCGCAGAUAUCAGGAAGAACACCAAUGGCGAAGGCAGCUCUCUGGGACGGUACUGACGCUGAGACGCGAAAGCGUGGGGAGCGAACAGGAUUAGAUACCCUGGUAGUCCACGCCGUAAACGAUGGGUGCUAGGUGUGGGAGGUGUCGACUCCUUCCGUGCCGUAGCUAACGCAUUAAGCACCCCGCCUGGGGAGUACGGCCGCAAGGCUAAAACUCAAAGGAAUUGACGGGGCCCCGCACAAGCAGCGGGAGCAUGUGGGUUUAAUUCGAUGCAACGCGAAGAACCUUUACCAGGGCUUGACAUGCACUGGAAAAUCCGUAGAAUACGUCCCUCCUUCGGACCAGUGCAACAGGUGGUGCAUGGCUGUCGUCAGCCUCGGUGUUCGUG
RNAcentral lists this ribosomal RNA (1080 nucleotides) under uncultured bacterium. Its description in RNAcentral is "bacterial SSU rRNA". It matches the Rfam family "Bacterial small subunit ribosomal RNA", at positions 8 to 1074 of the family's 1533-position model. The record is from RNAcentral.